This 497-nucleotide ribosomal RNA is filed under the name uncultured bacterium. RNAcentral describes it as "partial 16S ribosomal RNA". It matches the Rfam family "Bacterial small subunit ribosomal RNA", at positions 28 to 507 of the family's 1533-position model. The record is from RNAcentral.
GAUGAACGCUGGCGGCGUGCCUAAUACAUGCAAGUCGAGCGAACAGGCGAGGGGUUGGCUCCCCGGACGAGAGGGGCAGAGGGGUGAGAAGCACAUGGAAAACCCACCGUAGAGGGGGGGAAAACUUGGGGAAACCGGAGCUAAUAGCAUGAAAUCUAUUAAAGCGUGAGGUUUAAUAGAGAAGGGCAGUUGUUCUGUUACUAGAAGAUGCAGCCGGGUCUCAUUUGCUAGUUGGUGAGGUAACGGCUUACCAAGGCAACGAUGCGUAGCCGACCUGGGAGGGUGAUCGGCCACACUGGAACUGAGCCACGGUCCAGACUCCUACGGGAGGAGGAGGAAGGGAAUCUUCGGAAAGGGCCGAAAGCUUGACGGAGCAAGGCGGCGGGAGGGAUGAAGGUCUUCGGACCGUAAAACCCUGUUAUUAGGAAAGACCAAAUGUGUAAGUAAAUAUGCACGCCUUGACGGUACCUAACCAGAAAGCCACGGCUAACUACGUG